This 498-nucleotide ribosomal RNA is filed under the name uncultured bacterium. RNAcentral's name for it is "partial 16S ribosomal RNA". It matches the Rfam family "Bacterial small subunit ribosomal RNA", at positions 28 to 507 of the family's 1533-position model. The record is from RNAcentral.
GACGAACGCUGGCGGCGUGCCUAAUACAUGCAAGUCGAGCGGACGAAUCGAAAGCUUGCUUUUGAUUCGUUAGCGGCAGACGGGUGAGUAACACGUGGGCAACCUGCCCUGUAGACGGGGAUAACACCGAGAAAUCGGUGCUAAUACCGGAUAACACGAAAUGUCGCAUGACGUUUCGUUGAAAGACGGCGCAAGCUGCCGCUACAGGAUGGGCCCGCGGCGCAUUAGCUAGUUGGUGAGGUAACGGCUCACCAAGGCGACGAUACGUAGCCGACCUGAGAGGGUGAUCGGCCACACUGGGACUGAGACACGGCCCAGACUCCUACGGGAGGCAGCAGUAGGGAAUCUUCCGCAAUGGACGAAAGUCUGACGGAGCAACGCCGCGUGAGCGAAGAAGGCCUUCGGGUCGUAAAGCUCUGUUGUUAGGGAAGAACAAGUAACGCAGUAACUGGCGUUACCGUGACGGUACCUAACGAGAAAGCCACGGCUAACUACGUG